Molecule: ribosomal RNA, 429 nt
Filed under: Bacteroidota bacterium
Lineage: Bacteria; Pseudomonadati; Bacteroidota
Description: Bacteroidetes bacterium partial 16S ribosomal RNA
Rfam family: Bacterial small subunit ribosomal RNA
Source: RNAcentral
UAGGGAAUCUUCGGCAAUGGGGGGAACCCUGACCGAGCAACGCCGCGUGAGUGAAGAAUGUUUUCGGAUCGUAAAGCUCUGUUGUUAAGGAAGAACGAGUGUGAGAAUGGAAAGUUCAUACUGUGACGGUACUUAACCAGAAAGGGACGGCUAACUACGUGCCAGCAGCCGCGGUAAUACGUAGGUCCCGAGCGUUGUCCGGAUUUAUUGGGCGUAAAGCGAGCGCAGGCGGUUAGAAAAGUCUGAAGUGAAAGGCAGUGGCUCAACCAUUGUAGGCUUUGGAAACUGUUUAACUUGGGUGCAGAAGGGGAGAGUGGAAUUCCAUGUGUAGCGGUGAAAUGCGUAGAUAUAUGGAGGAACACCGGUGGCGAAAGCGGCUCUCUGGUCUGUAACUGACGCUGAGGCUCGAAAGCGUGGGGAGCGAACAGG